GAUGAACGCUGGCGGCGUGCUUAACACAUGCAAGUCGAACGAAGCACUUUAUUUGAUUUCCUUCGGGACUGAUUAUUUUGUGACUGAGUGGCGGACGGGUGAGUAACUCGUGGGUAACCUGCCUUGUACAGGGGGAUAACAGUUGGAAACGGCUGCUAAUACCGCAUAAGCGCACAGCAUCGCAUGAUGCAGUGUGAAAAACUCCGGUGGUAUAAGAUGGACCCGCGUUGGAUUAGCUAGUUGGUGAGGUAACGGCCCACCAAGGCGACGAUCCAUAGCCGACCUGAGAGGGUGACCGGCCACAUUGGGACUGAGACACGGCCCAAACUCCUACGGGAGGCAGCAGUGGGGAAUAUUGCACAAUGGGCGAAAGCCUGAUGCAGCGACGCCGCGUGAGCGAAGAAGUAUUUCGGUAUGUAAAGCUCUAUCAGCAGGGAAGAUAAUGACGGUACCUGACUAAGAAGCACCGGCUAAAUACGUG
Molecule: ribosomal RNA, 481 nt
Filed under: uncultured bacterium
Lineage: Bacteria
Description: partial 16S ribosomal RNA
Rfam family: Bacterial small subunit ribosomal RNA
Source: RNAcentral